Silurus meridionalis is the source of this 2805-nucleotide long non-coding RNA. RefSeq lists it as uncharacterized. The transcript is spliced from 2 exons. Lineage: Eukaryota; Metazoa; Chordata; Actinopteri; Siluriformes; Siluridae. The record is from RefSeq and is a predicted model, not a curated record.
ACACUACAGUCUUCCUCCUUCAGUAUCCACCAUCUUAUUUCAGUCCUCACUCUCCUCCUCUUCCUCUUCACCUCCAAAUCCACUUGUGAAGUAUAAGCACUGAUGACAUUUAUCAUCACAACUUUAACUUCCAGCUUCAUGUUCAUCACCAUAUCAGAAACUCUCUUCACCUCCACUACGCUUUUACUGUACUUUUCCUUCAUAAUCACUCCUACACCAUUUCUCUUUCCAUCCACACCAUGAAAGAACAGUUUAAACCCACCUCCAACGUUCCUGGCCUUACUCCCUUUAGCUCAUUUGUUAUUGUUCAUAGCCUGUAUGACUUCUUUCUUUGAAACCCAAACAGAGAACCACGCAGAAUGUAAAUCUCAAAUCCCACUGUAACCUGUAAUCUUCUGUUCAGAUUUAUUCAUUUGUUUGGUUAUGUAUGUUUGCUGUAUUUAAAGCAUAUUACUUAAGUUUUCUAUCCUGAUGCUGAUAUUCUGUUUAUUAUCCCAUCAUUUUUUAUACUUGCACCAAAUUUUAGGCACAGUCAACUGGGAACAAUUUACAUCUUUUGACACAUUCGGUGUUGGAUUUCUUUCUUGAAGGAGUCUUCUAAUCCCUUCCAAUCUUUUAAAUGACAACUCUGAGCAGAGUCUGACAGCUCUUUAAGGUGCAGUGGGUUGUGUGGAGCUCUAUUGAUUUGCAGGAGGAGGGAUUGAGAGGCAGUGAGGCUCCCUGGAGCCCAGGGUUACACCGCAACUGCAGUGGCCUGAUGGAAACUGCACAGUACGAGUGGAGAGAGCUGAGCAAACAAACACGCACACACAGAUGUAUAUUGGCAUGAAUGUAUACGCCGCCAGAAUACUGCACACACUUAACACUAUGCACCAACACGCAUGCAGCCCACCUCGAUGCUCAUCCUAAUGAGACCCUACACAGACCUACACAGGAGCAGCACACACCCUGUCUAAAAGAAAAAUGCGACCAGACAACACGCAAAUCCGUGUUAAACAUCAUGCUUGCCCGUGUCCAUGGUUUGCUGUUGACGCAGAGGAGGGUCGUGCCAGCAACACUUGUUUAAAUUAGCUAAUCGGUGUGUUGGAACACACACGUUUUCAGGCGGGUCGCAGUUUGCGCUCUUCAUCCGUUCGCCUUGUGGGGGGGCAGCGGUAUUGAUCAAGCCGCAGGCGAUCGAUCACUAGAAUAGUGUGUGUCUCUGAAUUUGAUAAUGACUCGCAGUAUGACAUCAGUGCUAUGCAGCUGUAAUUGAUAUAUUCUCACUGAGGCAGAAAAAGAGAGGAAGAGCAAAAAAGCUUAGUUCAACAUUACAGACCGUGGACUAUACAAGUCUCAUAAACCAAUUCCCAUCCUACACAAAUAUAUAAACAUGAUUCCAACUAAAGAAAAGCAUUUAAUGAAUUGUUCUUUCAAUACAAUGGUCUAUUACGUCUGCCGCAAUUCCCACGAACCGAAGCUUUGCUAGAUUUCCAUGUACUGAGAAAACAGAAAAUCUGUUUACUCGGUCCCAACUCGGCCCCCGAUAACUUUCUCUGCAUUUCUCUUGCUUGAUGUAAUCACCCUUAGUUUGCUCAGAUAUGGUACAUAGAUAGAAACUAAACAAAACAAAAGAAUAUCCCUUUAAUCCAGAGAUACGCCCUGCCUGUGUCUUCACAAGAAUCUCCUCAGUCCUACACGGCUGCACACAGCCACACUACACCUGCACCAAGUCCUCAGCGUGGCCGCUGGCGCGCUCCAGCAGGGGGGAGGCACACCAGGUAGAACAGCCGCCUUCUCUUCCCCCCCUGCUCAUUGCAAGAACUGGGGGGGUGGCUGUGCGCUUGGCAGAACAGCCCUUCGGAGCUCAGUCAAUAUCUACGCUGUCAUUGUUUUCCUAAACUGGUUAUAAAAGAGAGGCUAAAUCCUGCAGAGCUGCACACUCCUGGGAAAUAUGGCCCAGUCCCAUUACUAAUGCAGAGACCGCCAGACUGCUGCGCCCGCUAAGGGGGAGGAGAGAGGGAGACAAGAAGAGAGGGAGACAGAGAGUGAGGAAGAGGGGAGAGGGAGGGGAGAAGAGAGAGAGAUAAAGGAAAAUCAAAUCUACGUUUCCCAACACUGCCUCUUCUCACAUAAGAGCAUGUGCAUGCAGUCGGACCGAAGGUACUGUCAUGUCACUUUCAAUCAGGCCUCCGUGUGACUGUGUAUAUACUGCAGGGUCCCCGGCUCCGUGACGCCCCCUAGGGACGGUGCAGUAACGGUGAGACUGUAAUGUGUUGGCUAGCUCGGUUCAAACAGGAAAAGAGGAAAAAAGAGACAGAAUGCGAUUAGCAAGCUGGAUGCACCAAGGAAAACGUGGAGGUGUGGUUAGUGUCCAGUCAUUAAACUGGGCCUGUAUGUAGACAUCACUGUGUUGAGGGGGUCUCAGAGCAUAAAACUUAUACCCCACCCUCACAAAAACACACACGUACCCCUGGCAUACAAUGUGCUAUAGACACCGUUUCAAUGUUUGUUAACACCCAUCAAUAACCCAAUCCUUACCUGUAGCAUAUGUGAGAUACUACAAACAAAUAAUACAACACAUUUUUCUUUCAAAUAAAAUGUUUACUCAGAAUUAUCUUACUAUUUAAGUCUAAGAGCAGUUGUUAAAUUCCAUUAAUAAACAUUUAACAUGUAUAAUACAAAUGAACACCAGUUCAGUCUAAUCUUCCUUGUUUUCUUUAACCUGGUCCACCGAAGAAAACAAAAUUACAUUUCAAUUUGCUCGUCAUUUUACUGCAAUUCAAAUGAAAUAAUUAAUUGAAAAUAAAAAAAAUUAAAAAGCUA